AGCAGCCGCGGUAAUUCCAGCUCCAAUAGCGUAUAUUAAAGUUGUUGCAGUUAAAAAGCUCGUAGUUGAAUUUCGAGACUGGUUUAUUGGUCGUGCUUUUGUACGUACUGGUAUUAUUGGUUUCUCCUUUCUGACAAAUCAUAAUGCCAUUAAUUUGGUGUUUUGGGGAAUCAGGACUGUUACUUUGAAAAAAUUAGAGUGUUUAAAGCAGGCUCACGCUUGAAUACAUUAGCAUGGAAUAACGGAAUAGGACGUUUGAUUCUAUUUUGUUGGUUUCUAGGAUCGACGUAAUGAUUAAUAGGGAUAGUUGGGGGCAUUAGUAUUCAAUUGUCAGAGGUGAAAUUCUUGGAUUUAUUGAAGACUAACUACUGCGAAAGCAUUUGCCAAGGAUGUUUUCAUUAAUCAAGAACGAAAGUUAGGGGAUCGAAGACGAUCAGAUACCGUCGUAGUCUUAACCAUAAACUAUGCCGACUAGGGAUCGGAUGAUGUUAAUUUUUAAUGACUCAUUCGGCGCCUUACG
Molecule: ribosomal RNA, 520 nt
Filed under: uncultured Glomus
Lineage: Eukaryota; Fungi; Glomeromycota; Glomeromycetes; Glomerales; Glomeraceae
Description: SSU rRNA
Rfam family: Eukaryotic small subunit ribosomal RNA
Source: RNAcentral